This 460-nucleotide ribosomal RNA is filed under the name uncultured bacterium. RNAcentral describes it as "partial 16S ribosomal RNA". It matches the Rfam family "Bacterial small subunit ribosomal RNA", at positions 338 to 795 of the family's 1533-position model. The record is from RNAcentral.
CCUACGUGGGGCAGCAGUGAGGAAUAUUGGUCAAUGGCCGAGAGGCUGAACCAGCCAAGUCGCGUGAGGGAAGACGGCCCUACGGGUUGUAAACCUCUUUUGUCGGGGAGCAAAGAGAGUCACGUGUGACUCAUUGAGAGUACCCGACGAACAAGCAUCGGCUAACUCCGUGCCAGCAGCCGCGGUAAUACGGAGGAUCCGAGCGUUAUCCGGAUUUAUUGGGUUUAAAGGGAGCGUAGAUGGGUUGUUAAGUCAGUUGUGAAAGGUUGCGGCUCAACCGUAAAAUUGCAAUUGAUACUGGCAGGCUUGAGUACAGUAGAGGUGGGCGGAAUUCGUGGUGUAGCGGUGAAAUGCUUAGAUAUCACGAAGAACUCCGAUUGCGAAGGCAGCUCACUGGACUGCAACUGACACUGAGGCUCGAAAGUGUGGGUAUCAAACAGGAUUAGAUACCCUAGUAGUC